RNAcentral lists this transfer-messenger RNA (362 nucleotides) under Paenibacillus sp. YN15. It matches the Rfam family "transfer-messenger RNA". From Rfam's summary of the family: Bacterial tmRNA, also known as 10Sa RNA or SsrA, is named for its dual tRNA and mRNA-like properties. Its role is to liberate the mRNA from a stalled ribosome. Lineage: Bacteria; Bacillati; Bacillota; Bacilli; Caryophanales; Paenibacillaceae. RNAcentral also lists the same sequence under 1 other name. The record is from Rfam by way of RNAcentral.
GGGGCCGUUUUUGGAUUCGACGGGGGUAGUUCGAGCAUGGGUAGCGGGUAGUGGGGAGCGUCCGCUUUAUCAACGCUAAAGCCUAUUAAACGGCAAACAACAACCUUCUCUGGCUCUGGCCGCCUAAUAACGGUCACCAGGCUCUUACUCUCUAUCGCCCAUGUAGCGGGAUAAGGGCUCAACUUUAGUGGGAUACGCCGUCUAGUCUCCGCCUGGGGCUAACGGAAGAAGACAAUCAGGCUGACCCAACGGGGACCCGGUUACGGGGGGACCCUCGGGUGACAUCAAAACCGUGACUACACCCGUAGAAGCCUGUGUGGCGUUGCCUUCGGACAGGGGUUCGACUCCCCUCGGCUCCAUUU